This 311-nucleotide ribosomal RNA is filed under the name uncultured Bacteroidales bacterium. Its description in RNAcentral is "bacterial SSU rRNA". It matches the Rfam family "Bacterial small subunit ribosomal RNA", at positions 78 to 389 of the family's 1533-position model. The record is from RNAcentral. Lineage: Bacteria; Pseudomonadati; Bacteroidota; Bacteroidia; Bacteroidales.
AGCAAUACCGCUGACGACCGGCGCACGGGUGAGUAACACGUAUCCAACCUUCCCAUAACUCGGGGAUAGCCUUUCGAAAGAAAGAUUAAUACCCGAUAGUACUUUAUUAAGGCAUCUUAAGAAAGUUAAAGAUUUAUUGGUUAUGGAUGGGGAUGCGUUCCAUUAGAUAGUUGGUGAGGUAACGGCUCACCAAGUCUUCGAUGGAUAGGGGUUCUGAGAGGAAGGUCCCCCACAUUGGUACUGAGACACGGACCAAACUCCUACGGGAGGCAGCAGUGAGGAAUAUUGGUCAAUGGGCGAGAGCCUGAACC